AGUGAACGCUGGCGGUAGGCCUAACACAUGCAAGUCGAACGGCAGCACAGUAAGAGCUUGCUCUUACGGGUGGCGAGUGGCGGACGGGUGAGGAAUACAUCGGAAUCUACUUUUUCGUGGGGGAUAACGUAGGGAAACUUACGCUAAUACCGCAUACGACCUACGGGUGAAAGCAGGGGAUCUUCGGACCCUGCGCGAGUGAAUGAGCCGAUGUCGGAGUAGCUAGUUGGCGGGGUAAUGGCCCACCAAGGCGAUGACGGGUAGCCGGUCUGAGAGGGUGGCCGGCGACAUGGGGACUGAGAUACGGCCCAGACUCCUACGGGAGGCAGCAGUGGGGAAUAUUGCAGAAUGGGCGGAAGCCUGAUGCAGCAACGCAGCGUGCGGGAUGACGGCCUUCGGGUUGUAAACCGCUUUCGCCUGUGACGAAGCGUGAGUGACGGUAACGGGUAAAGAAGCAACGGCUAACUACGUG
RNAcentral lists this ribosomal RNA (472 nucleotides) under uncultured bacterium. RNAcentral describes it as "partial 16S ribosomal RNA". It matches the Rfam family "Bacterial small subunit ribosomal RNA", at positions 30 to 507 of the family's 1533-position model. The record is from RNAcentral.